Schistosoma mansoni is the source of this 45-nucleotide non-coding RNA. Lineage: Eukaryota; Metazoa; Platyhelminthes; Trematoda; Strigeidida; Schistosomatidae. The record is from Rfam.
AUCCAGCUGAUGAGUCUCUAAUAGGACGAAACGCGCGUCCUGGAU